Molecule: ribosomal RNA, 468 nt
Filed under: uncultured bacterium
Lineage: Bacteria
Description: partial 16S ribosomal RNA
Rfam family: Bacterial small subunit ribosomal RNA
Source: RNAcentral
GACGAACGCUGGCGGCGUGCUUAACACAUGCAAGUCGAACGAUGACGGCAGAGCUUGCUCUGCCUGAUCAUUGGCGCACGGGUGUGUAACACGUGAGUAUCCUGCCCCUCACUUAGUGAUAACCCCGGGGAAUCGUGGCGCAUACCGGGUAUGAGACCUGACUCCGUGGUCGGCUCUGGUGAGAUAUAUCGGUGCGGGAUGUACUCGCGGCCUACCAGCUUGUUGGGGAGGUAACGGUACACCAAGCGGACGACGGGUAGCCGGCCUGGGAGGGCGACCGGCCACACGGCUACUGAGAUACGGCGCAGACUCCUACGGUACGCAGCAGUGGGGAAUAUUGCACAACGGGCGAAAGCCUGAUGCAACGACGCCGCGUGAGGGAUAAAGGCUUUCGGGGUGUAAACCUCUUUCAGCAGGGAAGAAGCGAAAGUGACGGUACCUGCAGAAGAAGCGCCGGCUAACUACGUG